CCGUGUAGGCCUCAGUGAAGCCUGAACUGGAGUAGGCUUGCAGGGAGGCCCCAAGCAAGGAAGGAAGGAGGCAGGUAGGCAGAGUGGCCCCCACAGGUCUCUGCAGCAGACCCUCUGCCCAGCCCAGCAUUUGCCAGUGGCGAUUGGACCCUCGUGGCUCAGGUGCAACUGAAGGACCUCUUUCCUCAGGGAUGGAACCAAGCGAUGAAGAACCAAAAGCAGUUUGGCAGUUAGCCUGCAGUGGUAAAUCCUAAAGGUGUCUGUUUUUGUGCAGCCAGCUUCUAGUAGCAGCAAAGUGAGCUGGAUAGAUUGGACCAGCGAGGAACGUUGAUCUGGAGGCUGGAAGCGUGAAUGACACACAGAGCAAGAUACAGCCGGGUGUUAUGGCGGAUGCCAAGUCUAGCGUCCAAACUGCGGGUGACUCCAAGAUGUAAAGACCAAAUGAAGCACACUAGUUCAAGAAACCAGGGGUAGUUACCAAUAAUUUUGGUUCAGUAAUGUUAAUAAGAGCACCUCUGAGUUCCUAUUGCCCACUCAGCUCCUUUGUGAUGGGAAGGGAGUUGCAUUCACAGUGCCUUAUCUGACUUUCCUGCUGAGGUGAUUAUCAUUAGCUUGUUUGAGGCAACUGCAGAGGAAGGGAAGUAAAGGAUCUGUCUUCGGAGAAGAGAAGAGACUAACUUGAAAGUUAACUCUGGAGUCUACUUAUACAUCCCCUAACAUAAGGAAAGGCAUGAGGCUAAUCCCCUUUCAAUUCACUUGGUAACUGGUGAACCUGGGGGUGACUGUCCCACUGCCUGAUAAGUGACGUCCUCAAUAUGCCAAGCAAUGGGGAGCCCAUGAUCCCAUGAGACUCCAGAGGAUGUUAAAAGUGAGAAUCAGAAGCCUGUGGUAUCAGACAUAAGCAGAGAGGCUUCUGGCAGUCCAUAGAAUAGCAGUGCUAGCAACAGCCCCUCCACAACCUGUUAAAAUUGGCCGCCCAGAGAUGUAAGUUUGGGCGGGGUAUAAAUUUGAUCAAUCAAUCAAUCAUAUUAUACCCUGUACCAUACAGGACAGAUAUAUUUUUAAUGGAAUGAGUGUGCGCGGUACUAAAGUCAUAGUUGGCAACUGGCACUGGCUUUUAUACCUUUUUUAAAAAAUAAGUUGUACCACUGCUGCUGCCCCAUUUAGGAGACAGACUAAGGACACAGCAGCCACCACAGUGCCCCCACCCGCCUGGGAAUGAAUGACAGCAGGCGGAACUGCCAGUGGGCUCCUUGGGAAACUGAGAAGGGAGGAGAGCGGAGAAGGGAAUGGCAAUAGGAGGAACCAAGGAACCAGUUAACUAUGUUGUGAUAUCAAGCUUGUGCUAUGGAUCACAUGGCUAGCUCAAACUACCUGGGUUCCCUUGGUGAAAUGUUUGCAUCAGCCCUUGCAUAUUCCUAUACAUCAGUCAGGAAGGCGGCAAUUAUGAAAUUUUCCUAUUUGCACCUCCUGUGUCUUUACACCAUUAGACAAUGAGGGAGUGAAAGGGAUUAUUAAGGAGAAUAUGGAGGUUGCAGAGAAGCUAAAUGAGUCCUUUGCGUCCGUCUUCACGGCAGAGGAUACUGAGCAUAUACCUGUUCCUGAACCAGGCUAUUUGGUGAUGGAGGCUAAAGAACUGAGUCAGAUAGAAGUGACAAGAGUUGAUGUUCUAAACUCUCUGAAAAAAUUAAAAAAUAGCAAAUCACCAGGGCCAGAUGGCAUUCAUCCAAGAGUCCUCAAAGAACUCAAAUGUGAAAUUGCCAGCCUCCUUGCAAAAAUAUAUAACUUAUAUAUAACCCUACAAUCAGGCUCUGUACUGGAGGACUGGAAAGUAGCCAAUGUAACACCGAUUUUCAAAAAGGGGUUCAGGGGCGAUCCAAGAAAUUACAGACCAGUUAGCUUAACAUCCGUUCCAGGCAAAUUGAUGGAAAGCAUCCUCAAAGAUAAAAUUGUAAAGCACAUAGAAGAACAGGCCCUGCUGGGAGAGAACCAGCAUGGCUUCUGCAAAGGUAAAUUUUGCCUCACAAACUUUUUGGAGUUCUUUGAGAGUGUCAACAAGUGUGUUGAUAAAGGUGAUCCAGUUGACAUAGUAUACCUGGACUUCCAAAAAGCUUUCAACAAAGUUCCUCAUCAAAGACUCCUGAGAAAACCUAGCAGUCAUGGGAUAAGGGGACAAGUACAUGUGUGGAUUGCUAGCUAGUUGAAGGACAGGAAAUGGAGGGUAGGUAUAAAUGGAGAGUUUUCACAAUGGAGGGAAAUUCCCACAGGGAUCUGUACUGGGACUGGUGCUUUUUAAUUUAUUCAUAAAUGAUCUAGAAGCAGGGAUAAGCAGCGAGGUGGCCAGAUUUGCAGAUGAUACCAAACUCUUUAGGGUAGUGAAAUCCAAAACAGAUUGUGAGGAGCUCCAAAAGGAUCUCUCCAAACUGGGUGAGUGGGUGACAAAAUGGCAAAUACGGUUCAGUGUUGGCAAGUGUAAGGUGAUGUACAUAGGGACGAAAACCCCCAGCUUCAAGUAUAUGUCGAUGGGAUCUGAGCUGUCAGUGACUGACCAGGAGAGGGAUCUUGGGGUCGUGGUGGACAGCUCGUUGAAAGUGUCGACUCAAUGUGCUGCAGCUGUGAAAAAGGCCAAUUCCAUGCUAGGGAUAAUUAGGAAGGAGAUUGAAAAUAAAAUGGCUAAUAUUAUAAUGCCCCUAUACGAAAUUAUAGUGUGGCCACACUUGGAGUACUGCGUACAAUUCUCGUCACCACAUCUAAAAAAGGACAUUGUAGAACUGGAAAAGGUUUAGAAGAGGGCAACCAAGAUGAUCGGGGCCUAGAGCAUCUUCCUUAUGAGGCAAGGCUACAACACCUGCGGCUUUUUAGUUUAGAAAAAAGGUGACUGCGGGGAGACAUGAUAGAGGCCUAUAAAAUCAUGCAUGGUGUGGAGGAAGUGGAUAGAGAGAAAUUCUUGUCCCUCUCACAUAACACUAGAACCAGGGGUCAUCCCAUGAAAUUGCCAGGAAACUUAGGACCAACACACAGAAGUACUUUUCCACACAAAACGUAAUCAACUUGUGGAACUCUCUGCCACAAGAUGUGAUGUUGGCUACUAGUUUGGAUGGCUUUAAGAGGGGCUUCAUGGAGGAGAGGUCUAUCAACCCCUUCUAGUUGGCAGGCUAUAGGCCACCUUCAGCCUCAGAGGCAGGAUGCCUCUGAGUACCAGUUGCAGGGGAGUAACAGCAGGAGAGAGGGCAUGCCCUCAACUCCUGCCUGUAGACUUCCAGUGGCACCUGGUGGGCCACUGUGUGAGACAUGAUGCUGGACUACAUGGGCCUUGGGCCUGAUUCAGCAGCACUGUUCUUAUGUUACACCAUCCUCCUGACGGGUGUUUCCAAAAUCUUUUGAGACACAAGCGUCUCAAAACAGCAGUAUUUGCUCCAGUAAAUCUCUCAUACAGAGUAACCACAAUAUGAAUGUACCUGAAGGAUAUAAUUGGGGUGGAAGUCAAGUUUUCCUGAAAGUUUCACAUUUCCUGCAUUGUUCUUUAGGAGUAUGGGGAUAAAAUAUUCUGGAGUAAGUGAUGAUGCAAUGAGGUGUCUUGAAGUACUUUAGCAGCCUUAGGUAAAGGAAGGUUCACAGUAUAAUAUUGAUUCACCACCUCUUCACUUCUCUUUUAAUUUCUCUGUGACUUGCUCAAUUACAGGUGUCACAAACUGCAGAAUUAGUGGGUACACUGUAGUAUUUGUCAAAGGUGAAUGUCCAAAUGUGAUGAGUGUGAAUACUGACAAUCCCAGAUGAAUUUUAUGAAUGUUUAAAACUCAGAGGAUGUUUGCAGUCCCCAAAAUGGGAUUGUCAGUAUUCACCCAUGUCUAUCUGGCAAGCAAGGACAUGCACCAGUGAACGCUGGCAUUCACAAAACUAAUCUGUCAACAUCCGCAUAUAGAUAUUGAUAUUUAGUAAGUUUUGGACAUUCACUGUAACAUCUACAGCAGAGGUGGGUGAAUUUCAGGCUUGCAGGAUCUGUUUUGAACUCCAAAGUCCACCACUGAAGGAGAUGCACAAUAGGGCCUCAGGAGAGCACUCCCAAGUCCAAAAGGGUGGGCUACACCCUAUGAGCCAUACCCUGGGAUAACUUCCAUAUACAAGAACAAAUCUACACCACAGAUUCUAACACAACGCUCUAAAAACAGCCAGCAGAGCUGCAUGGAGAUCUGGCCAAAGUCAACCAAUUAAUACUCAUAUUUUACAGGUGAGGGGCACAGAGGCUAAGAGGGAUUCAAGUAGUGCAGGGCCAUAUUCUACUUGCCAUUUUGGAACAAUUGGGAGUCGGAAGCCCUUGCUGAUAUUCUGAAAACCAUCCAGAGAUCAACUAGUAGAUCCUGAUCUACCUUCUGCCCACUCCUGGUCUAUGGUGUACAUAUGACAGGGGCCCGGGGGCAAAUGUGCCUACCUGUGGCAUAUACAUUCAGUGCACACAGUGUCAGAAACAGACAUGCCAUGCACGAGCAAUAUUCAAACAUAUUGUUGUACCUAUGUUCAGAUUUCUGUAUGUAACCUAUGUUCAGAUUUCUGUACGUACAUGUUUUUGUGUCACUGACUGUAACUGUGUUCAUUUAAAAAGUGAAGUAUAGGUCCCUCAAAUUUACGGUACAGAUAGGAAGUGUACCACUCUUUUUUAAUCCAAUGUAACAUGAGGAUAACACUGUAGAGAGAUUGUUCAAGUGUUGAAUAUAAUGUGUAAAUAGGGCUAGAUUAUCCAUGUGCAGAACAUAAUGUGCUAAUAGGAUUAUGGUAAUCCAGUAUACUUGGCAUACACAAUACAGAUACAGAGCUCCUGAUUUCAUAACAUGAAAAAGUACUCACAGUCUGAUCCUAUAUGUGUUUGCUCAGAAGUAAGUCUUAUUGGAUACACCUACUCAGUACAAGUGGUUUCUUAUAGUUUUGGGGUAGGGUGGCCAUAUAUAAAGUAAGAUUGUGUAGAAGAAUUGUAAAGUGAGAUUUGUAAAGUAAUGUCAAUAUGUAAAGUAUGAUAGUGUAGAUUGUGUGUGGUGCCUUUGUGUAGAAGAAAGAAUUUAAGCAGGUAACUUCUAAAUUCUUACACAUAGGGUGGGUUCAGAUGUCGUGUGGUACCUAGCUACUGCUGACCUCUGUGUGACCUCAGCCUCAAGAAUAUAUGUGCCCCCUCCCAUCCCUGCACGAGUGGCUACUUCCUUUCUAGGUUAGAAUAUGUUGAGAUGGGUUGUGAUGUAUGAACCCACCAAUCUCGGCUUUUCGUAACCUACUUGCUUCAGAAAACUUGAGCCCCCAAACUCACUUGAACUCGAGCGUUAAGAUAAGCUGGAAAGGAAGGAAGAACUUGUACGUGAUGGCAGGUCAUGUGGAGUUCAGCUGUGCCUGCAACCAAGGAGGUAUCAUGUCACGUCUGAACAAAUCCGUACACCUUCAGACAGGCUAACAAGCUGCAUUUGCUGAUGCUACAGGUUCUAAGUGGGACUGCUAAUGGGAAGGUUCGGCAGCCUUGUUCUUCUUUGAAUUUGAGCACUAUAUUUUGGUGUUAACUCCUAGAUGAGAUAAAGUUCAUCGAGCACUGUACCAAACAGACAUCAAUGCAGCCAUGUUAGGGUAGAGAUAUAGUUCAGAUGAGAUGGUUUGGCUGAUUAAUCUUGUGCAGAAGAUUGUGUGCAUGCACUUGUGCCAUUUUGUCCCCAAAUAGUCACAUGGGGUGGACCAUCCAAACCACCCUUAAUUCCAUGGUUAAUACAUGGAAUGGUGUGCCAGGUGUGGGGUGGGAAAAUGUGCCUUCCGUGUUCCUCUUCAUGCAACUGGGCAGCUGAUUGGAUAGUUCUGUCCAAACUGGAAUUAAAACUUUAAAAUUAUUUAAAACCACAAGUCCGGUUAAAUGUUGGGGUGAAUAAAUGUGUCUUUAGACACUUUUUAAAAAGUUGUCAGAGGUGGGGAGGCUCUUAUUUCAGCAGGGCGCACAUUCCAGAGUCUCGGGGUGGCAACAGAUAAUCCCCCCCAUCCCGUGCAUCCACCAGAUAAACUGGGGACAACUGCAGAUGAACCUCUCCGGAUGACUUCAAUGGGUGAUGGGGUUCAUACUGAAGAAGAUGUUAUCUUAAAUACCUAGGACCUAAGCUGUUUAGGUCUUUAUAGGUUAUAGCCAGCACCUUGUAUUUUGCCCAGAAACCUCUUGGUAGCCGGACUAGUUCUUUUAAUAUAGGAGUAAUAUAGUCUCUUCGAGAGGACCCAGAGACCAACCAGGCUGCUGCAUUUUGUCUCCAAGUGACACCAUCUGGAAUCUGCCUGAGAGGUAGGAGUGGGACCACUGUAGAGCAGUGCCUCCCACUCUGAACCCCGUCAGACCCUCUAGAAGGAUACUAUGGUUGACAGUAUUGAAAGCCGCCGAGAGAUCCAAAAGGACCAACAAGGUCACACUCCCUCUGUCAAUUCCCCAUUGGAGAUCAUCCAUCAGAUCGACCAAGGCACUCUCUACCCCAUAGCCCACCCGAAAACGAACUUGAAACGGGUCUAGAUAAUCAGUUUCCUCCAGAGUUAAGCAACUGCCUGGAGCACUUCUCCGAUAACUCUGACUAUGGACAACUGGUUAUUAAAAUUAUGGGAUUAUGCUUUGAUAGCUAAGGACACAGCCUAUUUGAAAUCUGCUUCCAUUGAUUCAUUUGUAUCAGUUGGGGAACCUUUAUAAGUUUUAAUACUUGGCAAGGUUCUCAUCCACAUUUGAGAUCUGGUUUUGCUUAACAAGGAUGAUUGGUGUUGUUUAAAUUUUUUGUGCUUCUGUAGCUAUGAUAUUACCAAGGUUUGAAGGUGGAAAUAACUUUUCUUUUUUCAUGUUUCUGUUUUCUUGGGCUAUGAAUGUCUACAUUGAUCCAACAGUAUUUUUGUAAUUUGAUUGUUCAAAAGUUGUAUCUAAACAGUGAUGUACUUUCUUCUCUUUACCUUUUAUAAAAUUUAAAAAAUGAAAAGGA
Hemicordylus capensis (graceful crag lizard) is the source of this 6965-nucleotide long non-coding RNA. RefSeq lists it as uncharacterized. The transcript is spliced from 2 exons. NCBI's taxonomy places the organism in Eukaryota, Metazoa, Chordata, Lepidosauria, Squamata, Cordylidae. The record is from RefSeq and is a predicted model, not a curated record.